Molecule: ribosomal RNA, 448 nt
Filed under: uncultured bacterium
Lineage: Bacteria
Description: bacterial SSU rRNA
Rfam family: Bacterial small subunit ribosomal RNA
Source: RNAcentral
UCGAGAAUUUUUCUCAAUGGGCGCAAGCCUGAAGGAGCGACGCCGCGUGGGGGAUGAAGGGUUUCGAUCCGUAAACCCCUGUCAUUUGCGAACAAAGGUUAUUCGAUAAUACCGGGUAAUUUGAUAGUAGUGAAAGAGGAAGGGACGGCUAACUCUGUGCCAGCAGCCGCGGUAAUACAGAGGUCCCGAGCGUUGUUCGGAUUCACUGGGCGUAAAGGGUGCGUAGGUGGUGGUGUAAGUUUGAUGUGAAAUCUCCGGGCUUAACCUGGAAAAGGCAUUGAAUACUGCAUUGCUGGAGGUUUGGAGGGGGGACUGGAAUUCUCGGUGUAGCAGUGAAAUGCGUAGAUAUCGAGAGGAACACCAGUGGCGAAGGCGAGUCCCUGGACAAAACCUGACACUGAGGCACGAAAGCCGGGGGAGCAAACAGGAUUAGAUACCCCCGUAGUCC